Molecule: long non-coding RNA, 369 nt
Filed under: Monodelphis domestica (gray short-tailed opossum)
Lineage: Eukaryota; Metazoa; Chordata; Mammalia; Didelphimorphia; Didelphidae
Description: lncRNA (ENSMODG00000037487.1)
Source: RNAcentral
AAAAAGGAAAAGUCAGAGGGAUGAGCUGAGAAAAGUGUCCUUUUGGACAAAAAGUUCACUGAGAAUAUGUAGCCCACAAGAGAAUAUAGACUAGUCAUGAAGUGAGAGAGAUGAAUGUAAGACAGUCUGAGAAGCAUGCUAAAAAUAUAUUACUAUCAAAAUAUUAAUAGAACAAGAAGAAGAUAGAUCUACAUCAGGUGGAUUUAAGGAAAUACAUGGUCAAGACAUGUGUUGAGUGUCACAAAGACAGAGAGACAUUAGCACUCUGAAGGCAUUUGGAAAACUAGAUUGAGUCUGGGAGGUUGCCUGGUGAGUUCAAGAAGUCCAGAGAUCUUGGAUCUCUCAGUCAGAGCUGGCUGGCAGCGUGAA